Molecule: transfer RNA, 73 nt
Filed under: Stegodyphus mimosarum
Lineage: Eukaryota; Metazoa; Arthropoda; Arachnida; Araneae; Eresidae
Rfam family: tRNA
About the family: Transfer RNA (tRNA) molecules are approximately 80 nucleotides in length. Their secondary structure includes four short double-helical elements and three loops (D, anti-codon, and T loops).
Source: Rfam by way of RNAcentral
GCUUUCGUGGUGCAGUGGUCAGCACACUCGACGCGUAACCGAGAGAUCCGUGGUUCGAUUCCCGGGGAGAGCG